Molecule: long non-coding RNA, 742 nt
Organism: Corapipo altera (White-ruffed manakin)
Lineage: Eukaryota; Metazoa; Chordata; Aves; Passeriformes; Pipridae
Exons: 5
Source: RefSeq, a predicted model, not a curated record
CUCAGAAACUGUUCUCCUGGAACUCCAUUGCAUGGGGUUAAAGAAACUUUCACUGCCUCUGCAGACCCUGUGUCAUCAAGGGAACAACCAGACUACUUCAUAAAAUACACAGCUAUAGUGUCCUGUGAACAACGCCAGAGCUACAAGGAUGACUUCAAUGCAGAGUAUGGUGAAUACCAGAAUUUGUUGGCUCAGACAGACAACCUUGCCAAGAAAUUCGGGAAGUUUAAUGAACAACAGAAGUUUGUGACUCAGGGGUCCACAGAAUAUCAGGUGCUUUGUUGUCAAGUCCUGGCAGAGCAUCAGAAGAUACAACAGUGUAGCCCUACCUACGCUGAAUUGAAGAAGAGAUGUCAGUACCUACACAACAAGCUGUCUCACAUUAAGAGACUAAUCCAAGAAUUUGACAAUCAGCAAGAGGAGUCCUGUAACCAGUUGUCUGCUUUGGCCAGGACACAUCUAUGAGCUGUGGCAUAUUUAUUUAGUUCCCCUAGGAUUCUUUAUCUUAAUAUUGAACAUUAGCUUGUUUGUUUAAAACUGAAGAUUAGCUUCUAUAGGAUUAUAUAAGUUGGUAUUGAGCAGUAGGUUGUUUAUUUAAAAAACAAUAUCCAGUUCCUUUAAUUGUAUAUAAGAUAGUAUUUCAUGUUUUCAUUAAAGAAGUUUCAGUACCGUUAACUCCUUGUGGUGAUGUUGCUUAUAUGAUAUUCGAAGCUGCUUUUUUCUGGUCCCUCUUUUCUUCGAG